GAUGAACGCUGGCGGCGUGCCUAAUACAUGCCAGUCGAGCGAACAGACGAGGAGCUUGCUCCUCUGACGUUAGCGGCGGACGGGUGAGUAACACGUGGAUAACCUACCUAUAAGACUGGGAUAACUUCGGGAAACCGGAGCUAAUACCGGAUAAUAUAUUGAACCGCAUGGUUCAAUAGUGAAAGACGGUUUUGCUGUCACUUAUAGAUGGAUCCGCGCCGCAUUAGCUAGUUGGUAAGGUAACGGCUUACCAAGGCAACGAUGCGUAGCCGACCUGAGAGGGUGAUCGGCCACACUGGAACUGAGACACGGUCCAGACUCCUACGGGAGGCAGCAGUAGGGAAUCUUCCGCAAUGGGCGAAAGCCUGACGGAGCAACGCCGCGUGAGUGAUGAUGGUCUUCGGAUCGUAAAACUCUGUUAUUAGGGAAGAACAAAUGUGUAAGUAACUAUGCACGUCUUGACGGUACCUAAUCAGAAAGACACGGCUAACUACGUG
Molecule: ribosomal RNA, 497 nt
Filed under: uncultured bacterium
Lineage: Bacteria
Description: partial 16S ribosomal RNA
Rfam family: Bacterial small subunit ribosomal RNA
Source: RNAcentral